AUUGAACGCUGGCGGCAGGCCUAACACAUGCAAGUCGAACGGUAACAGGAAGCAGCUUGCUGCUUUGCUGACGAGUGGCGGACGGGUGAGUAAUGUCUGGGAAACUGCCCGAUGGAGGGGGAUAACUACUGGACACGGUAGCUAAUACCGCAUCACGUCGCAAGACCAAAGAGGGGGACCUUAGGGCCUCUUGCCAUCGGAUGUGCCCAGAUGGGAUUAGCUAGUAGGUGGGGUAACGGCUCACCUAGGCGACGAUCCCUAGCUGGUCUGAGAGGAUGACCAGCCACACUGGAACUGAGACACGGUCCAGACUCCUACGGGAGGCAGCAGUGGGGAAUAUUGCACAAUGGGCGCAAGCCUGAUGCAGCCAUGCCGCGUGUAUGAAGAAGGCCUUCGGGUUGUAAAGUACUUUCAGCGGGGAGGAAGGGAGUAAAGUUAAUACCUUGGCUCAUUGACGUUACCCGAAGAAGAAGCACCGGCUAACUCCGUG
RNAcentral lists this ribosomal RNA (490 nucleotides) under uncultured bacterium. RNAcentral's name for it is "partial 16S ribosomal RNA". It matches the Rfam family "Bacterial small subunit ribosomal RNA", at positions 30 to 507 of the family's 1533-position model. The record is from RNAcentral.